CAAAAACUUUAAGGAGGCAACUAAACACGCCCUUCAUCUUCCUCCCAGUCGACUCUCCAGUCUCCCCUGCAUCUGCAGUGCCCGCGGCGGCGGCGAUGGUGGCGACCACGGCGGUAGCAGCGUGUUGAGGAAACCGGCACCUGUGGCGGCGCCCCCUCCCUCCCUUCCGUCACCCCGUCCUCCAGCUCCUCCUGCUCGCCGCUCGACUCCACGCUGCCGUCCCCAAGGGCUUUCCGCCGCUGCUCUCCUAGCCGACGAUAGCGCCGCGGCUGCCUUUGCAGGUUGUGGCCUCCGGCACUGGCGCAGGCUGCUUGGAACUGUAGCACGCGGAGUUGACCUCAGCCCCCGGCUGGCAGCUGGCUUUGCGUCUAGCGGGCUCCGCCGAUGCCGCUCAAGGUCUGCUCGGCGCCGCAACACAGCUCCACCCAUGGCGUCGAUAUGUUGAAGUCGUGAUGGCACAGCAGCGUCGACAGCAGCAAGGCCAAGGUGCCGGACCUGGCCACCUGGGGGCGGGAGGCGAUGGUGGUGGUGGUGACGCCGCAGGACGCAGGGGUGGGAGGCGGUGGUGGUGGUGGUGACGCCGCAGGAUGCAGGGUGGCCGGCGGCGCGGUCGGAGCCCGCGGAGGUCGCCGGCGGCGCGUGCCGAUGGGCGGCCCCCAUCUUGGAGGCCACCAAACUCCCUGCCGCUCGGCAAGGACAGGAUCUUGGUUCCCAGUCCGGCGACGAGCGGUGGUAGGCGGCCGUGGUAGGAGACUGCCGCACAAUCUUCGGGGAAGAUGGCGGAGUAGUAGAACCCCGUGCAGCUCGCCCAAGAGCACGACUCCUGCGGGUCACCCUCCCUCGCGUCGCCUCCUGCGCCGCCGCGGCUGGUGGUCCGCCAUGAGCUCGGCAUCUCCGUGCCGCGAGCUCGAGGGAGCAGAGUAGAUGUGGAGCAGCGGAGCAAUGCAAAUUUCCUAGCUCCACGUUUCUAUGUUCUUGAUUAUUUUCUUUUCCGCUUUCUUACUGGUCGCCUGCGGUAUCCAAAUCAUGAUGAUUUUUCUAACUAUGAUUUCAUUUAUCUCUUUGUUUUGCAGAUUCUACAUUCUGCAGUUCAAUUCGCUCUACAUAGGACUGCUACUUACAUUAGGGAUUUCACAAAUCUAUCUUCGUUCCUGUUAAUUUUUCUCUGUUAGUGCAGCUCAGUUAGCUUCUGUGGAAGGAAUCUUAAGGCUGCAAUACUACGUAGUUGACCUAUAACCUAUUUCCCAACAAAGAUCCAUCAAUGGUCGUGAAGAACAAGCAGCACAAUAAGGCAACAUUGACCAAUGAAACAAUGAUGGCAUUAGCAGGCUUUGAUCAAAGAGAUGCACAUAAUGGAAAUGAUGUCUUUUCAAACAUGUGAUCAGGAACUCCACCUCAGACUUAUACAACAAAGAGAAUAUAAAUGGUUUCACAUUAGGAAACAUCAGCUCUAUGAAGAUAGUAAAUUCUGCAUAUAUGAGCCAAAGGCCAAGCAGUCCCAAGCAAAAUAUAUCGUCCACCGAAAAACAACUAUAAGACGUGGCGGCAAUGGCGGACCUGCGUUUCCUGGGCUGUGGCUGCGUGAACAUCAACUGGGGCCUGGAAUUACUUGAACACACUAGGAACAGUGCAUCUACAAAACGAUGCUCCAGCGACAAUAUGUGAUCCCAGUCUUUAUUACAAAAAAAAACAAGGCAAGAUAAUGACACUCCCCGGAACUCCAACAAAAACUUAAUACAAGGCAGGAGCGGGACAACCAUUCACCAUUCCACGGAAUUUACUUCAGCACUGCCUAUGAUGGAAGCUGGAAGAUAUAAUAAGGAGUAGCGCUUUUUGUAUAAAUAAUUAUACUAUUAUAUAUGCCUAAUAAUAUAUGGACAUACAACGGUAAUGCAAUGUCUAUAUGUAUUAAUGAUAUCCAACCUUAAUCUAA
Long non-coding RNA from Panicum virgatum (switchgrass), 1933 nucleotides. RefSeq lists it as uncharacterized. The record is from RefSeq and is a predicted model, not a curated record. NCBI's taxonomy places the organism in Eukaryota, Viridiplantae, Streptophyta, Magnoliopsida, Poales, Poaceae. The transcript has 9 exons.